CCGGAUAAGCCAUAGACGCUGGAAUGCCCUAUGGUUCAAAGCUCCGGCGCCUAAGGAUGGAUCUGCGGUCUAUCAGGUAGUAGUGGGUGUAACGUACCUACUAGCCGACGACGGAUACGGGUUGUGAGAGCAAGAGCCCGGAGAUGGAUUCUGAGACACGAAUCCAGGCCCUACGGGGUGCAGCAGGCGCGAACACUUUACAAUGCGGGAAACCGCGAUAAGGGAACCCCGAGUGCCAGCAUCAAAUGCUGGCUGUCCAGAUGAUUAAAAAUCAUUUGUUAGCAAGGGCCGGGCAAGACCGGUGCCAGCCGCCGCGGUAACACCGGCGGCCCGAGUGGUAGCCGUUUUUAUUGGGUCUAAAGGGUCCGUAGCCGGCCUGAUAAGUCCUUUGGGAAAUCUGGCAGCUUAACUGUUAGGCUUCUAAGGGAUACUGUCAGGCUUGGGACCGGAAGAGGUAAGGGGUACUCCAGGGGUAGGAGUGAAAUCUUGUAAUCCCUGGGGGACCAUCUGUGGCGAAGGCGCCUUACCAGAACGGGUCCGACGGUGAGGGACGAA
Molecule: ribosomal RNA, 555 nt
Filed under: uncultured archaeon
Lineage: Archaea
Description: bacterial SSU rRNA
Rfam family: Archaeal small subunit ribosomal RNA
Source: RNAcentral